Molecule: long non-coding RNA, 921 nt
Filed under: Dromaius novaehollandiae (emu)
Lineage: Eukaryota; Metazoa; Chordata; Aves; Casuariiformes; Dromaiidae
Description: lncRNA (ENSDNVG00000019121.1)
Source: RNAcentral
UGGAAUACUGUGUUCCAGUAGGUGCCAGAGACUGACACUGAUUGGGAAUCUUAAAAAAAUAAGUGCAUCAAGUGUGUACGUCUGUUACUCCAUUUAUGUGUAAGUUAUGGGAUAGGCAGAUUUUCAGUAUACAAAAUUACARCAGCCUUCCCCUUUCUCACUCAUGCAGGAGCUGCAAAAUACCGCAUUGAUGCUUCACUUUGAUUUUGUUGGUGAGACUGUUGCACCACAUUUAUUUGGCUGUGGCUUCUCAUUCUCUGCCAACUGGAGUGCUUGCCCCUGCUGUCCUCAGAGGAAAGCUCUAGGAGACUCAAUGCUGCUGGCUGGAGUGCUGGAGGGUUCAGCCACAGGUUUUUUCCCUCUCUGCUUUGUCCCCUUUCYUCAUGGGACAUCUAGAUCUUCCUGCUAUCCCAAGACCACAUGCACAAAUGCCUUUACAGCUGUGACUUUACCUUCUGGCUGUGAUUCACUGAGCUGCAACACAGCUUACUCAAGAAGUGCUACUCAGCUGAGCCAGAGGCUUCAAACGGGAUGCUGGCAUAAUAUCCCUCAGCUCUACCUAGGAUGUUGCAUUCUGGUGGAYGGCUUAGAACUUGGUUUCCUCUCAGCUAGAUGAACCUUCGGUCUGAAGCAGUAUGCCUUGUCCAUACAGUCCUUCACUGGCAAGUUGCUUUGACCAAAAUGAACAGAGGUAUUUAAGGCUUCCAGCCGUUAUCUUGAUUAGACUUUGGAGGUUUUUACAUCUGGUGGGUACCUUUACAGUUUAAGAAGAUGAGCUAGACAGCUGGUAGUUUGUCUGGAGGAAGCAUUCUCUCUUUGCAACCCGAUAAAGCGAUAACCUGAUCUCAAGUAGUGCCUCUAGAUUCUACUCUGGAUUUUCAUUGCAUUGCUAUCUGCUGUUAGUUCUGGCUGUGAUGGAAG